GAUGAAGAACGCAGCGAAAUGCGAUACGUAAUGUGAAUUGCAGAAUUCAGUGAAUCAUCGAGUCUUUGAACGCACAUUGCGCCCCCUGGCAUUCCGGGGGGCAUGCCUGUUCGAGCGUCAUUAACACCACUCAAGCUCAGCUUGGUAUUGGGUCACGCCAGCAAUGGUGAACCUCAAACUCAGUGGCGGCACCGUUGGGUCCCGAGCGUAGUAAAUAUCUCGCUGAGGGUUCCCUCCGGUUGGCGAACAACAACCCAAUUUUCUAAGGUUGACCUCGAAUCAGGUAGGAAUACCCGCUGAACUUAAGCAUAUCAAUAAGCGGAGGA
RNAcentral lists this unclassified non-coding RNA (326 nucleotides) under soil metagenome. RNAcentral describes it as "partial contains 5.8S ribosomal RNA, internal transcribed spacer 2, and large subunit ribosomal RNA". The stretch from base 1 to 120 matches the Rfam family "5.8S ribosomal RNA", at positions 35 to 154 of the family's 154-position model. The record is from RNAcentral.